GCAUGCCUGGCCGAGUGGUUAGUGCGUUGUUUGUUAUACAAUAGGUCACGAGUUCGAUUCCGGUUCUAUGCG
This 72-nucleotide transfer RNA is filed under the name Helianthus annuus (common sunflower). RNAcentral describes it as "tRNA HanXRQr2_Chr17g0822611". The record is from RNAcentral. Lineage: Eukaryota; Viridiplantae; Streptophyta; Magnoliopsida; Asterales; Asteraceae.